CAGGUCUUGACAUCCCAUUGACCGCUAUAGAGAUAUAGCUUUCCCUUCGGGGACAGUGGUGACAGGUGGUGCAUGGUUGUCGUCAGCUCGUGUCGUGAGAUGUUGGGUUAAGUCCCGCAACGAGCGCAACCCUUGUUCUUAGUUGCCAUCAUUUAGUUGGGCACUCUAAGGAGACUGCCGGUGACAAACCGGAGGAAGGUGGGGAUGACGUCAAAUCAUCAUGCCCCUUAUGACCUGGGCUACACACGUGCUACAAUGGACGGUACAAACGGUUGCCAACUCGCGAGAGGGAGCCAAUCCGAUAAAACCGUUCUCAGUUCGGAUUGUAGGCUGCAACUCGCCUACAUGAAGCCGGAAUCGCUAGUAAUCGCAGAUCAGCAUGCUGCGGUGAAUACGUUCCC
This 401-nucleotide ribosomal RNA is filed under the name uncultured soil bacterium. RNAcentral's name for it is "bacterial SSU rRNA". It matches the Rfam family "Bacterial small subunit ribosomal RNA", at positions 975 to 1375 of the family's 1533-position model. The record is from RNAcentral.